Molecule: ribosomal RNA, 519 nt
Filed under: uncultured bacterium
Lineage: Bacteria
Description: partial 16S ribosomal RNA
Rfam family: Bacterial small subunit ribosomal RNA
Source: RNAcentral
GACGAACGCUGGCGGCGUGCCUAAUACAUGCAAGUCGAGCGAGUCUGCCUUGAAGAUCGGAGUGCUUGCACUCUGUGAAACAAGAUACAGGCUAGCGGCGGACGGGUGAGUAACACGUGGGUAACCUGCCCAAGAGAUCGGGAUAACACCUGGAAACAGAUGCUAAUACCGGAUAACAACAGAUGAUGCCUAUCAACUGUUUAAAAGAUGGUUCUGCUAUCACUCUUGGAUGGACCUGCGGUGCAUUAGCUAGUUGGUAGGGUAACGGCCUACCAAGGCGAUGAUGCAUAGACGAGUUGAGAGACUGAUCGGCCACAUUGGGACUGAGACACGGCCCAAACUCCUACGGGAGGCAGCAGUAGGGAAUCUUCCACAAUGGACGCAAGUCUGAUGGAGCAACGCCGCGUGAGUGAAGAAGGGGUUCGGCUCGUAAAGCUCUGUUGUUGGUGAAGAAGGACAGGGGUAGUAACUGACCUUUGUUUGACGGUAAUCAAUUAGAAAGUCACGGCUAACUACGUG